GUUCUACUGCGUUUGUUUCUGUUGGAGGGGACUGUGGGGACCAGGAGAGGAUCCAUCUCCACGUGUCACCGUUACUUCUCUGGUCAAGCAACAGGUUAUCUAAAAAGAAAACGGAGAGGAGACUAGUGGCUACGGUAAACACUGAAGGAAGGACUCAGCUCUGGACCCCAGGAGUUUUUGUUUCUGAGCCGCACAGCAGAAGACGCAGACGGGAUGGCUGGAUGCAGAGAGAUCCCGGGGCAGAGCCUGCGAAGGACCAGCGAGAGGCUGAACGUGUGCGCUGAAGGUGGAUGGCAAGGGCUGUGCUCACCAGAAGGCAGAGAGUGAGGGGGUGAGAAGCACAACAUUUUAUUCACAGGGCAUACAGCUCUUCCUCCCAAUUUCACAAAACAGAUCUUCAAGUUCUAUAUUACUUUUUCUCUGCAUUUCUAUUAGGUUUCAAGGAAAUCAUAACAUUUUUUUCAUAAAGUUACUGAAAUUAAAAUGAGCACUAAAUUCACAAUUUUAAUACAUUGUCAUAAAAUGAAAUCAGAUUUAGCUAACUUCAGAAGUUUAAUACAUUGUCAUAUAGUGAAAUCAAAUUUAUCUUUGGGGUAUACAACAUUUCGCAAAUGAGCUACUGUAAAAAUAUUAGGCACUAAUCAAUUACAUGAUGGAACCAAAUUAAUACCAUCAUAUCCGAGGGUAUUAAUAUAAAGCAAAAUUUGCUUCCUAAUUAGUUUUAAAUGACGUUUAUAAUUUAAUGAGACAAAAUGAAAAUAGUUUAAGUAAUAAAUGUUUAAUCAAAGAAUUUUACAUAUUAUUAACAGCAUUCAUUUGGCCAAACAUCUACAGGUCUGUAGAAUCCUACUGUAUAUAAAGUGGGAAUGUAUCAAGUAUAGACUAUGAAAGUGCAAAUAACAAGUCAAGGUUAGAUUAACUUUCUUUUUUUACAUUAUAAAAUUAACUUGUUUACAAAAUAGGCUUUGCCAGACUUUAUUACUGAAUUGGAAAGUCAAUGACGGUGUUGUUUUUAAAAUGUACCAAGGAAAUACAAACUGAUAACAACAGUUUUUCACACUCAGGAACCCAGCACAUCACAACAGGCACUGCACAAAGCCAGGGAACAGGAG
Molecule: long non-coding RNA, 1112 nt
Organism: Meriones unguiculatus (Mongolian gerbil)
Lineage: Eukaryota; Metazoa; Chordata; Mammalia; Rodentia; Muridae
Exons: 2
Source: RefSeq, a predicted model, not a curated record